CGGGGUGUGGGGAAGUCUGGCCGUUCCCGCUGCACUUGGACUGCAGAGAUCGCUGGUUCGAAUCCAGCCACCCCGACCA
This 79-nucleotide transfer RNA is filed under the name Hyphomicrobiales bacterium. Its description in RNAcentral is "Rhizobiales bacterium (beach sand metagenome) tRNA-Pro". It matches the Rfam family "tRNA". Rfam says of the family: Transfer RNA (tRNA) molecules are approximately 80 nucleotides in length. Their secondary structure includes four short double-helical elements and three loops (D, anti-codon, and T loops). The record is from RNAcentral. Lineage: Bacteria; Pseudomonadati; Pseudomonadota; Alphaproteobacteria; Hyphomicrobiales.